CAAAGUUCUCUCUUUAGAUUGGUG
This 24-nucleotide non-coding RNA is filed under the name Cricetulus griseus (Chinese hamster). Lineage: Eukaryota; Metazoa; Chordata; Mammalia; Rodentia; Cricetidae. The record is from RNAcentral.